AAAAAGAUAAGCUAAUAUAAGCUAAUGGGUUCAUACCCCAUUUAUAGAAGUUAAAUCUUCUUCUUUUUA
RNAcentral lists this transfer RNA (69 nucleotides) under Aphrophora sp. EMHAU-2015-Zz062722. RNAcentral describes it as "tRNA-Met". It matches the Rfam family "tRNA". Rfam says of the family: Transfer RNA (tRNA) molecules are approximately 80 nucleotides in length. Their secondary structure includes four short double-helical elements and three loops (D, anti-codon, and T loops). The record is from RNAcentral. Lineage: Eukaryota; Metazoa; Arthropoda; Insecta; Hemiptera; Aphrophoridae.